RNAcentral lists this ribosomal RNA (1180 nucleotides) under Xylariaceae sp. RNAcentral's name for it is "partial large subunit ribosomal RNA". It matches the Rfam family "Eukaryotic large subunit ribosomal RNA", at positions 74 to 1302 of the family's 3401-position model. The record is from RNAcentral. Lineage: Eukaryota; Fungi; Ascomycota; Sordariomycetes; Xylariales; Xylariaceae.
AUUGCCCUAGUAACGGGCGAGUGAAGCGGCAACAGCUCAAAUUUGAAAUCUGGCCCUCGGGUCCGAGUUGUAAUUUGUAGAGGAUGUUUUUGGCGCGGUGCCUUCCGAGUUCCCUGGAACGGGACGCCUUAGAGGGUGAGAGCCCCGUACGGUUGGACACCAAGCCUCUGUAAAACUCCUUCGACGAGUCGAGUAGUUUGGGAAUGCUGCUCUAAAUGGGAGGUAAAUUUCUUCUAAAGCUAAAUAUUGGCCAGAGACCGAUAGCGCACAAGUAGAGUGAUCGAAAGAUGAAAAGCACUUUGAAAAGAGGGUUAAAUAGCACGUGAAAUUGUUGAAAGGGAAGCGUUUGCGACCAGACCUUUUCCUUGGGGAUCAUCCGGUGUUCUCACCGGUGCACUUCCCUUGGUUUAGGCCAGCAUCGGUUUCUGUAGGGGGAUAAAAACUUGAGGAAUGUAGCUCCCUCGGGAGUGUUAUAGCCUCUUGUAUAAUACCCUUGCGGGGACCGAGGACCGCGCUUCGGCAAGGAUGCUGGCAUAAUGGUCGUCAACGACCCGUCUUGAAACACGGACCAAGGAGUCGAACAUUUGUGCGAGUGUUAGGGUGUCAAACCCUCACGCGUAAUGAAAGUGAACGGAGGUGAGAGCCCUUACGGGUGCAUCAUCGACCGAUCCUGAUGUCUUCGGAUGGAUUUGAGUAAGAGCAUAACUGUUCGGACCCGAAAGAUGGUGAACUAUGCGUGGAUAGGGUGAAGCCAGAGGAAACUCUGGUGGAGGCUCGCAGCGGUUCUGACGUGCAAAUCGAUCGUCAAAUCUGCGCAUGGGGGCGAAAGACUUAUCGAACCAUCUAGUAGCUGGUUACCGCCGAAGUUUCCCUCAGGAUAGCAGUGUUGUUCUUCAGUUUUAUGAGGUAAAGCGAAUGAUUAGGGACUCGGGGGCGCUUUUUAGCCUUCAUCCAUUCUCAACUUUAAAUAUGUAAGAAGCCCUUGUUACUUAAUUGAACGUGGGCAUUCAAUGUACCAACACUAGUGGGCCAUUUUUGUAAGCAGAACUGGCGAUGCGGAUGAACCGAACGCGGGUUAAGGUGCCGAGGGACCUCAUCAGACCCACAAAAGGGGUAGCCAUUUAGACAUAGGACGGGGCCUGGAAGUCGAAUCCCUAAGACUGGUAACACUCCCAUCAAU